This 301-nucleotide ribosomal RNA is filed under the name uncultured bacterium. RNAcentral describes it as "bacterial SSU rRNA". It matches the Rfam family "Bacterial small subunit ribosomal RNA", at positions 335 to 627 of the family's 1533-position model. The record is from RNAcentral.
ACUCCUACGGGAGGCAGCAGUGGGGAAUAUUGCACAAUGGGCGCAAGCCUGAUGCAGCCAUGCCGCGUGUAUGAAGAAGGCCUUCGGGUUGUAAAGUACUUUCAGCAGUGAGGAAGGUGGAGUCGUUAAUAGCGGCCUCAUUUGACGUUUAGCUUGCAGAAGAAGCACCGGCUAACUCCGUGCCAGCAGCCGCGGUAAUACGGAGGGUGCGAGCGUUAAUCGGAAUUACUGGGCGUAAAGCGCAUGCAGGUGGUUUGUUAAGUCAGAUGUGAAAGCCCGGGGCUCAACCUCGGAAUAUGAC